This 492-nucleotide ribosomal RNA is filed under the name uncultured bacterium. RNAcentral describes it as "partial 16S ribosomal RNA". It matches the Rfam family "Bacterial small subunit ribosomal RNA", at positions 29 to 507 of the family's 1533-position model. The record is from RNAcentral.
AGUGAACGCUGGCGGCAUGCCUAACACAUGCAAGUCGAACGGGAGCAUAGUAAGAGCUGGCUCUUACGUGCGUCGAGUGGCGGACGGUGGAGUAAGACAUCGGAAUCUACUUUGUCGUGGGGGAUAACGUCGGGAAACGUACUCUGAUACCACAUACGACCUACGUGUGAAAGCAGGCGAUGUUCGGACCUUGCGCUAGGGAAUGAGCCGAUAUCGGAUUCGGUAGAUGGCGGGGUAAAGGCGCACCAAAGCUACGAUGCGUAGCUGGUCUGAAAGGAACAUCAGACACACUGGAAGUGAGACACGGUACACACACUUACGGGGGGACGCAGUGGGGACUAUUGCACGAUGGGGCAAUGGCUGAUACAGCAAUAUCGCGUGAAUGCAGAAGGACUUCUGGUGCUAGAGUGAUUUUGUUCGGAAAGAAGAGCAGCACGUUAACCCCCCACUGUUAUGACGGUACCCAAAGAAUAAGCACCGGCUAACUUCGUG